Oxyura jamaicensis (ruddy duck) is the source of this 1739-nucleotide long non-coding RNA. RefSeq lists it as uncharacterized. Lineage: Eukaryota; Metazoa; Chordata; Aves; Anseriformes; Anatidae. The record is from RefSeq and is a predicted model, not a curated record. The transcript is spliced from 4 exons.
GACCGGGGCCUCGCACCGCCCCGCGGCGCUGCCGGGGGAGUGGUUUCCCCUUCGCCGGCAGCGGCGGGGCCGGUCUGCGGGCGGGGUGGUGCCGCGGCCGGCCCGGGAGGAUGCGGACACCCUGACGGAGCUGCCGGCUCCGUGCACGGCCGGCGGGAGGCUGCCGGCCUCCCCUUGCCUCGCGUCGCCUCGCCGGAGCAGGCUGUGUGAAGGAAUCCUGAUGAAUGAGAGUGGCACUGAGGGAGUUGUUGGGCUGCGAUCGCCUCAGCUGUUCAUUUAUUUCGAGGUGUGUUUGUCGGUGUCUGAACACGGCUGCAGUCACGGAGGGGAGCGAGGCUAGGCUGGGUACAGCAUUAACCCCUCAAGCCACGAGAAGCAAUAAACAGAGAAAUUAGUUUCCAUUAGUCUUUUCCUGACCGAGAUCUUUACCGCAGUCCUACGGUCAGCAGACCCCGAAGUUUGCGCUCCUGCAGCCUGGCUCCGUGCACAAUGCCUCCUUAUGGGAAGCCUGGAAAUGAAGGUGAAGCGGGGAAAUCUGCCUACACACCACCAGUCCCAAGCCAGUGUUUUCCAUCUCUUAGAUUUAAUGAGCAACAAAUUUUGUGCCCAGAAAGGAAUCCAGCUCACAGCUCAGGAUUUUGAUAAUUAAUAUUCCAUUUAAAGAACAUGUUUUCAGAGUCAACAUUAUGAUUGCAGAGGGAAAACAAGCAAACAGGGAGCGACUUGACCCGCUUUUCCAUGCUUUCCCGAUCUGGCCUGACAAUUUGUCAAUCAUGUGGAAUUUCCUCUAACCUCUCUGGUACAUUACUUUAGCAGAAGAAAUGAAUGUGCAAAUAGAGUCGCUAUUUUCCCUCCCUUCUCACAAUGAUCUCUUUGUGUUAAGCAACAGGCUUUUGCAUAGAUCAGGUAUCAAACCCACAGUGUCACAGGCUGAAAUUGCUUCUUCGCUCUCAUUUCUGAAAUUAUGCCCUUGCGUUUGAGCCUAUUUAACCACAUCUGUCUAUUUUGGAGGGGUCAGACGGAGCAGACUUGGUCCAGGGCAGAUCCUGUGUCAUGGCAGGCAGGAGGAGCCCUGCUGGGACUUCAAGGAGCCCAGCAUCUGCCUCUCCGCGGUGCCCCUUCCCUUUGCUCCUAGACACGUGUGUGUGUUCUCUGGAAAAAGCUGUGAGUGAAUCAGUUUCCUGCAUGUUCCUUCUUCAAAGGAAGACUUUAUUGCAAGACCUAGGAAAACUACCAGCCAAUAACAACUCAGGUGGAAUGAAAAAGACCAGUUAAUACAAACAGGUCCUAAAACCUUCUCUCAGCCCCUUGCUCCAGCCUUUGUCCCUCUUUGCUUGAGGCUGCGAUCACCUGUCCUUCGCUGUUCGGAGAGAGCACCAUCAGUAAUGGCAUCUGCAGAGCAGGUACCAGUGCUGAAGGAAGCUGGGCUCUGGCAGGACAAGCCCCUGCUGCCAUCAGGGUGGGUUGGCUGAUCCCACAGCGUUUUGCCCCAUAGAGCCCAUGUCCUCGCAGGGCUAUGACAGAAUAGUCCAAGUCCAGUUCCUUUGCAACUUCUAUACCAUGUAGCCUGAAUUUUCAUCCGAGUUGCUUCUCUUGGAUGCACACAUAUAAACUACCCGUAUGCAAAUAUUUAGGAGACCUCUAGCUUCAGGUGGCUGUUAAUUGGUUGGCAGAAAGACACGUAGCCUUAUCCAUGCACAUACGCUUUCAGUGUUAAUGACUCAUUCCAAAAAAAAAAA